CCCUAGAUGUCCUGGGCCGCACGCGCGCUACACUGAGUGUCUGAGAUACGAGUCUGCCUGGUCCGGCAAGGUCUAGGUAAUCGCUAAAAGACACAUCAUGCUUGGGAUAGAUUAUUGCAAAUAUUAAUCUUGAACGAGGAAUUCCUAGUAAGCGCAAGUCAACAGCUUGCGUUGAUUACGUCCCUGCCCUUUGUACACACCGCCCGUCGCUACUACUGAUUGGAUGUUUAAGCGAGGUUCUCGAACUGCUAGCGACUUAGCUUCGGUGAGGUCGCAGUGUGGGAAGUGAACCUAGCUUUGGUGUCUAGAGGAAGUAAAAGUCGUAACA
Molecule: ribosomal RNA, 328 nt
Filed under: uncultured eukaryote
Lineage: Eukaryota
Description: partial 18S ribosomal RNA
Rfam family: Eukaryotic small subunit ribosomal RNA
Source: RNAcentral